UGCAACACUGCUUUCAUUUUGUUGC
Molecule: non-coding RNA, 25 nt
Filed under: Mus musculus (house mouse)
Lineage: Eukaryota; Metazoa; Chordata; Mammalia; Rodentia; Muridae
Source: RNAcentral